RNAcentral lists this small nuclear RNA (97 nucleotides) under Vombatus ursinus (common wombat). The record is from RNAcentral. Lineage: Eukaryota; Metazoa; Chordata; Mammalia; Diprotodontia; Vombatidae.
GUGCUUCCUUCAUCUGCACAUGUACAAUAAAAUGAUAUAGAGAGGAUUAGCAUGGCCUCUGGGCAAGGAUAAAAUACAAAUAAUGAAGCUUUCCUUU